GGCGCAGCUACCAUGCAAGUUCGAGCGGGCAUAGCAAUAUGUCAGCGGCAGACGGGUGAGUAACGCGUGGGAACGUACCUUUUGGUUCGGAACAACACAGGGAAACUUGUGCUAAUACCGGAUAAGCCCUUACGGGGAAAGAUUUAUCGCCGAAAGAUCGGCCCGCGUCUGAUUAGCUAGUUGGUGAGGUAAUGGCUCACCAAGGCGACGAUCAGUAGCUGGUCUGAGAGGAUGAUCAGCCACAUUGGGACUGAGACACGGCCCAAACUCCUACGGGAGGCAGCAGUGGGGAAUAUUGGACAAUGGGCGCAAGCCUGAUCCAGCCAUGCCGCGUGAGUGAUGAAGGCCCUAGGGUUGUAAAGCUCUUUUGUGCGGGAAGAUAAUGACGGUACCGCAAGAAUAAGCCCCGGCUAACUUCGUGCCAGCAGCCGCGGUAAUACGAAGGGGGCUAGCGUUGCUCGGAAUCACUGGGCGUAAAGGGUGCGUAGGCGGGUCUUUAAGUCAGGGGUGAAAUCCUGGAGCUCAACUCCAGAACUGCCUUUGAUACUGAAGAUCUUGAGUUCGGGAGAGGUGAGUGGAACUGCGAGUGUAGAGGUGAAAUUCGUAGAUAUUCGCAAGAACACCAGUGGCGAAGGCGGCUCACUGGCCCGAUACUGACGCUGAGGCACGAAAGCGUGGGGAGCAAACAGGAUUAGAUACCCUGGUAGUCCACGCCGUAAACGAUGAAUGCCAGCCGUUAGUGGGUUUACUCACUAGUGGCGCAGCUAACGCUUUAAGCAUUCCGCCUGGGGAGUACGGUCGCAAGAUUAAAACUCAAAGGAAUUGACGGGGGGCCCCGCACAAGCGGUGGGAGCAUGUGGUUUAAUUUCGACGCAACGCGCAAAACCUUACCAGCCUUUGACAUCCCCGGUUCGCCGGACUCCAGAAACCGAAUUUCUUCCAUUUCGGCUGGGACCGGAAAACAGGUGCUGCAAGGGCUUGUCCUCACCUCCUGGUCGUGGAAAAUUUGGGUUUAAGUCCCCGCAACGAGGGCAACCCCCGUCC
RNAcentral lists this ribosomal RNA (1044 nucleotides) under Bradyrhizobium sp. YM-Lg-5-3. RNAcentral describes it as "bacterial SSU rRNA". It matches the Rfam family "Bacterial small subunit ribosomal RNA", at positions 41 to 1110 of the family's 1533-position model. The record is from RNAcentral. Lineage: Bacteria; Pseudomonadati; Pseudomonadota; Alphaproteobacteria; Hyphomicrobiales; Nitrobacteraceae.